Molecule: ribosomal RNA, 417 nt
Filed under: uncultured bacterium
Lineage: Bacteria
Description: bacterial SSU rRNA
Rfam family: Bacterial small subunit ribosomal RNA
Source: RNAcentral
UUUAAGCUUCCUACGGGAGGCUGCAGUAAGGAAUAUUGGUCAAUGGACGGAAGUCUGAACCAGCCAUCCCGCGUGCAGGAUGACUGCCCUAUGGGUUGUAAACUGCUUUUAGCAGAGACGAAACGCCUUCAUUUAUGAGGGUCUGACGGUAUCUGCAGAAUAAGCACCGGCUAACUCCGUGCCAGCAGCCGCGGUAAUACGGAGGGUGCAAGCGUUAUCCGGAAUCACUGGGUUUAAAGGGUGCGUAGGCGGAUGAUUAAGUCAGUGGUGAAAUCUUGUCGCUUAACGAUAAAAUUGCCAUUGAUACUGAUUAUCUUGAAUUGGGUUGAGGUUAGCGGAAUGUGACAUGUAGCGGUGAAAUGCAUAGAUAUGUCAUGGAACACCAAUUGCGAAGGCAGCUAGCUGGGCCUUGAUUGA